This 492-nucleotide ribosomal RNA is filed under the name uncultured bacterium. RNAcentral describes it as "partial 16S ribosomal RNA". It matches the Rfam family "Bacterial small subunit ribosomal RNA", at positions 29 to 507 of the family's 1533-position model. The record is from RNAcentral.
AAUGAACGCUGGCGGUAUGCCUAACACAUGCAAGUCGAACGACAGCACAGUAAGAUCUUGCUCUUACGGGUGGCGAGUGGCGGACGGGUAAGGAAUACAUCGGAAUCUACUUUUUCGUGGGGGAUAACGUAGGAAAACUUACGCUAAUACCUCAUACGACCUACGGGUGGAAUCAAGGGAUCUUGGGGCCUUUCCCGAUUGUAUGAGUCGAUGUCGGAUUAGCUAGUUGGCGGGGUAAAGACCCACCAUGGCGACGAUCCGUAGCUGGUCUGAGAGGAUGAUCAGCCACACUGGAACUGAGACACGGUCCAGACUCCUACGGGAGGCAGCAGUGGGGAAUAUUCGACAAUGGGCGAAAGCCUGAUCCAGCCAUACCGCGUGGGUGAAGAAGGCCUUCGGGUUGUAAAGCCCUGUUGUUGGGAAAGAAAAGCAGUAGGUUAAUACCUCGAUGUUCUGACGGUACCCAAAGAAUAAGCACCGGCUAACUUCGUG